Molecule: RNA transcript, 4494 nt
Organism: Epinephelus fuscoguttatus (brown-marbled grouper)
Lineage: Eukaryota; Metazoa; Chordata; Actinopteri; Perciformes; Serranidae
Exons: 6
Source: RefSeq, a predicted model, not a curated record
AUUAAAUAUAUAGGAAUAAAAUAUUAGUUCAAGUGCUGUUAAUGAUGAAUAAUUACUUUAUGUAAUAAUACAAAUUAAUUCUGUUAGUCCAAAAUAAAAAUGUAGCAUUGUUCCUGUAAAGAUAUCCAUGUUUCCACACAAACCAGCGUGGUGGCCUAAUCAUAAAGCACCCAAAAAUACAAUACAAUAAAACCACUGACAGGUGGCGUGAAUAACAUUGAUCACCAUGUUACAGUGUAAUGUUCUGCAGGGAAAACUUUGGUCCAGGUGGAUGCCACUUGACAUGCACGGCCCACCCAAACACCGCUGUGCACCAAGUACACCCCAUCAUAGCAAUGCAGGCAGCAAUGAUCCUACAAGAACUGUUUAGGAAUGGCCCGAGGAAUGUGACAGAGACGUCGACCUGGCCUCAGAAUUCCCCACAUCCCAAUCUGAUUGAUCACCAAUCUCAAUCAAAACUGUGGGCCCCCUUUAGAUCUGACCUGCCUCUGACCCGUUGAGUCAUACAGGAUGUCUGGGGGUGUCCUGUGGUGUUUGGCACUGGGGUUGUGGAUCCUUUGAGCCCUGCAGGUUGUGAAGUGGGGUACCAGUAUGUCCCACAGGUGCUUGAUCAAAUUGAGAUGUGGAGACCUUGGAGGCCAGGGCAGUGCCUUGAGCUCUUUGUCAUGUUCCUUGGGCCCUUUCUGAGCAGUUUUUGCGGUGUGACACGAAGCAUUAUUGGGGGGGACACUACCAUCAAGGGAGUGUCAUUGCCAUGAGGAGUGACGCGCUUGGUCUGCACUUGGUCUGGGUGGAACGUGUCAGGUCAUUACGUAAUAGUGAGUGAAAGUCAACGACGGGAAGUGAAAGGGGGAAGUGGUCCUAAUGAUACACAGCAUGGCUCGACUCGGUCAUGGUGAUCCUCUCAUCACGUUUGAUUAGUAGUUCCACUUCCCUUAAGCCCUUCGUGUCAUUUUGUGUCGUGUCGUGUCGUGUCGUGUCAUAUCGUAUCGUGUCAUGUCUUGUCGGUCUGUGUCUUCUGAAAUGUUGCACACUAGUUGAUUUACAGGUUGUUUAAAACAACAAAUAAAAACACAUUCCAGGUUGUCAGAAGAGUAAAAGGAGGCCAGGGACAGUCUUUUUGACAUUUGAGGUGUUAGGGGAGUUGACAUAAUAACAGGAUGCUGUGGCCUCGAUGGUACACACUCCAGUUUUAGGUGUGAUACAGCCCCCGAGUCUGUCAGUCUGCAGUCAAGCAUCAUGGCGAUAACAACUCUGUGCGCUGUCGUGGCCGCUCUGAGAGUCCUUCCCGACAGAUCCCAGUUCUUCCAGUACGAGUCCGUCUCUCUGAGCUGUGAGCAGCAGGGAAACUCUUCUGACUGGACAGUUAAGAGGAACACAACUGUAAACCGAGAGCGUUCUGGAACUUGGAAUAAUAUGAAUGAGUCCCACUGCUUCAUUGAUGUCCUUUACCCAUUAGACACAGGAGUGUACUGGUGUGAGUCUGCAGCAGGAGAGUGCAGCAACACCGUCAACAUCUUUGUGACUGCUGGUUCAGUGAUCUUGGACAGCCCAGUCCUUCCUGUGAUGGUGGGAGAUGCCGUGACUCUGAGCUGCAGAGCAAAGACGACUUUCCCCAAUCUCACAGCUGACUUCUAUAAAGAUGGCGUCUUCAUCAGGAGCAGCUCUACAGGAAACAUGACCAUCCACAGUGUUUCUCUGUUUGAUGAAGGAUUCUAUAAGUGCGGAAUCUCUGGAGCUGGAGAAUCACCAGACAGCUGGCUGACUGUCAGAGGAAGCCGUCCUGAGCUGCCUGACUCCCCUAUCACACACAUUAUACUUCCUGUGGUGGGUGCCUGCCUCUCGCUGGUCUCGCUGGUCUGUGUGAUGCUGCUGUGCCUCUGGAGGAACCACAAAGGUAAAGUCGACCCUGAUGUCCCCUACACUGAUGUCACCAUCACACAGGAAGUGCAGCCAAACAGGAUCAGAGGUAAACACACAAUAACCACACUCAGAUACAUUCUCAUCUACCUGUUCCCAAAAAUAAUUACAAAAAACUACAAAAUUACUCUUAAAUAAUCGUAUAAGAUUUAAACUGUAAGACUUCAGCUCUUCUACUGUAAAACAGUCAACUUACCCGUGUCUUUGUGUCUAUGUGUCUGUGUGUGUGUGUGUUUGAGUAUCAGCGACUGCAACAUGACUCAUUUCUUCCACUGUGUCAUGUGUUAUGUUACGCCCAUCAGGCUCAUGUGUGUUUGUUAAUGUCUGCCUGAAACGGAAGUUCUGCCCUCUCACGCAUUUUUUUCCUGCGCUCUCAUUGGUCCAACUUGAUGUCAUAAAAACUAUCACCAAGGUUACCAGACAAAACACUUGGCACCAGAUCGCGGCUCCACCCUGAACUGCAUCACCACAGAGACUCACCUACUAUUAUUAGACUGACUGAGUUUCUAUUUUUAACUUUUAUUGAUCUGAAGUGACAUCAUCAAUAUGAUAAAACCAUGAGGAAAAACAAAAACAUUGACAUAGAAGGAUAAAUAUUAUGGUUAUAAAACAAACAAUUAAUACUUUAUGACUGUAGAAAGUAACUAAGAUAUAUUUAGUCAAGUCUGUGUGUUACUUCUACAUGCACAGUUCUGUUUUUAUUUUCAAUCAAUCAAUCAAUCAAUCAAUCUUUAUUUUAAACUCAGAAAUAGGUCCAUAUAAAAUAUAUAUUAUAUUUAUAUAUAUUUUAUUGUUUGAUUCCAGAGCCGGUUCAGACCUCUAUGGGGCCCUAGGCAAAAUUCUGCAAAGGGGCCCUCCUCACUGAAUUCAACAGCACCUGACACCGCAGUGCUUCCACUCAUCCCCCCUUUAAACAUAUUGCACUGUCACCACGACGCCACCUGUUGGUCUAACUAAGAAUAAAAUCAGAACAAAUUAGAACAAAUCAAAUCAAAUUUAAUGUGUAAACAAACAAUCUAAGUAAUCUAAAUCAAAGUAACAGCGUCUACACACACAAGAGCACAAAGACUGAAGGUCAAUAGAUAGAUGGACACAUUUACACAUCACAUAUAGUCAUAAUAGAAAAGGAUGUGUAUUGAUACAACCUACAUAGUUAGCUCACCAUUAAAAGUGUCCCUUUCCCUCCCACUCUCUCACACAGAGAGGGAAGUUACCUGACUGCUGCUCCCGAAGCUCAUUGUCAUGCAGUUUCUUUUUCCUCUUUUCAUAUCCAGAAGGGAAACUGCGCUUCAUCGUGGCCUGUCCCUUUUGUGCGCUGGGAAUGCGGAGAGACACACGCGCGCUGCGGACGGUCACCUCGUCUUUUUUUUUUUUUUCUCCCCGCGUCAACGUUGCCGAGGUAACGGGGCCUCCAUUGGUUUGCGAGGCCCUACGCAACGCGCGUAGUGUGCGUAUUGGGUGAACCGGUACUGUUUGAUUCUAAUCUAAUAGAUUAUUCUUAAUAUUUUAUUUUACUUUAUCCCAGUUUAUCUCUCUGGCAGUCAUACAGAUAGUUACUAAUUAUGUUGCAGUUGUUGUGAAUCCACUGAUUGAAUUAAUAACAGUUCAUUUAAAAUUUUAUAUAAAAACAUUAACUUUAUAUGACGCAUUGUUACAAUUUAAACUAUCCUUUUUAUUUUUAGUUUCUAUUUUUUGUUUUGUGCCUGCACAUAUUGUUAUCUGGUUUCUUUCACAGUCACUUGAGUUAUGGACAAACGUUUUAUUUUCUCUUUGAAAAUAACCUGAUACUGUUCUUCUAAAACACUCCUUUGUUCUCUGUUUACUGGUAGUAUCAAUACGUCACACAGCUGAAACACAUUGGACCACCUGGUUCAUGUUGUGAAACCGUCACGGUUAUGUUUAGGAAACAAAACUUCUUGUUGACAUCACAUGGAAAUUACGUUAUGCUACAACACUUUUGUUUUUAGAUGCGACAUGAACUACAGUGUUCUGCAUGACAGUAGGUUAAAGUCUUAUUUCAUCUGGCCUGUCCACAUCCUGCCACUCGCUCUACACAGACUCUCUCUCUGCUCUCAGCGUCAGAUAUGGCAGAGGGAUUUACCAGGUGCGUGUCUUUAAAAGUUAAAGGGUGCCUCUGGCGUCGAUAAAGCACACAGAGGAUCAUGACAAUGCCUCUGUAUUUGACAACCUGGAAAUGAGAGCAUGCUGAUGUGGAGGCUGCACCGACCUUCUACUCAACAGUGAAACCUGGAAACACCUGACAGGAAACAGCAGCCGUGAUGGGGAAAUGUAUAUUUACACUUGGAUUUAACAGGAGAAAUGUUCUGUGUGCUUUUACAGACAUUUUCUGACCAGCCUGCCUGAAAACUGUCCAUGUUUUCAGCACAGGCGUAGACGCCGCAUUGACUGUCAGACCAUUGCAGCAAUACAUCAGUGUUGCCACCAUAUUGAGAGGUUAACACUUGCCUGUAAACAAAUGAAUGCAAUGUGGAGAGCGCAUUCUUUUUCUGAAUAAAAAGCACUGUAACGUUUCUCAACAGGUUUCAAUGAGUUGUUUUUUAUAUUCACGCAUUU